AAGAAAGUCGUAAUGGAUGCGUGGUUGGCUUGAAACCAAUUAUUGGGGGUUCGAUUCCUUCCUUUCUUG
RNAcentral lists this transfer RNA (69 nucleotides) under Elephantulus fuscipes (Dusky-footed elephant shrew). RNAcentral describes it as "tRNA-Ser". It matches the Rfam family "tRNA". From Rfam's summary of the family: Transfer RNA (tRNA) molecules are approximately 80 nucleotides in length. The record is from RNAcentral. Lineage: Eukaryota; Metazoa; Chordata; Mammalia; Macroscelidea; Macroscelididae.